GGGGGGGGGGGGGGGGGGGGGGGGGGGGGGGGGUCGGGGGGGAGGGGGCUGGGGGCGGGGGGCGCGGGGGGCGCGCGGGUGGUUGGGAGGUGGGGGGGCGGGCCUGCACUUCGGUGUAGGCCUGUGACACGGGGUCUUGUGCCGGAUGGGCUCCGGUCUUAGUGUGCUGUGUGGAACGGUUUGUCGGUGUGGGAUGAGGCCGCGGCCUAUGAGCUUGUUCGUGGGGUCAUGGCCUACCAAGGCGGUGACGGGUGGCCGGCCUGAGAGGGUGGACGGCCACAUUGGGACUGAGAUACGGCCCAGACUCCUACGGGAGGCAGCAGUGGGGAAUAUUGCACAAUGGGCGCAAGCCUGAUGCAGCGACGCCGCGUGGGGGAUGACGGCCUUCGGGUUGUAAACUCCUUUCGCUAGGGACGAAGCUUUUUGUGACGGUACCUAGAGAAGAAGCACCGGCUAACUACGUG
RNAcentral lists this ribosomal RNA (464 nucleotides) under uncultured bacterium. RNAcentral describes it as "partial 16S ribosomal RNA". The stretch from base 55 to 464 matches the Rfam family "Bacterial small subunit ribosomal RNA", at positions 39 to 507 of the family's 1533-position model. The record is from RNAcentral.